This 1794-nucleotide long non-coding RNA is filed under the name Triticum aestivum (bread wheat). Its description in RNAcentral is "long non-coding RNA (TAES_LNC005138)". The stretch from base 788 to 874 matches the Rfam family "MIR1120/MIR1122 microRNA precursor family". The record is from RNAcentral. Lineage: Eukaryota; Viridiplantae; Streptophyta; Magnoliopsida; Poales; Poaceae.
AAACAAAAGCCAUAAUUGUCAAAUGCACACCCCCAGGUUGGUUCCAUUGCCGUCAAAGCCCUUGUUGAAGGGCAUGGCAAUCUAGAGGUCUUGAUUGCUUACCAACAACCGUUUCUUCUCCUUACCAUAUGGGUGAUGGACCAUUAGGUAGAGUAUUGAGUAUGAAAGAGCCCAUAGAUUACUGAUCAAGUUUACAGCACCAAAAGGUAACUAAACAGCACAUCAGAGAACAGCUGUGCUCCACAGUUUACACCACCAAAAGUUUGGAAAUCCUAAUAAUGGUCUCACGUGCUCAACAGAUUAACAGGCCGAACAACAAAACCGAAUUCGUCACUACAUCCUAGUGUUUCAUAUCCAGCUAGUACCCGUAGUUCGGAGGGUAGUGUGCCCCAUAGCCUCCUCCAUUGUGAGGGGUAGGACCUGCGCCGCCUGGAGGGGUUGCAUACGACAGUCCUCCAUACGGCGGGUAUGAGUUGUAGCCCGAGUCAACUGGUUGAGAGGGAGGAGCGGGACCUGGUGGAGGAACUUGGGGAGAAGCUUCGGCCAUGAAAUUCUGCAACAAGAGGAUGGUGAUCAAAUUUAAUAGAAGACGGAAGAACUGCAAAGCGCAAAUGACAAGCUAUACAAUGUAUGAUAUGAUUUUAUGGCAACAAUGACAUUAUUGUAGCUUCUGAAAUUGUAAUUUGAACCUUGGAAAAUAAGCAUCCAGCCAUCUAAACACUCUGAUAGAAUAAUCAAGGAGCCAUCAUAAGAGUUUUUCCUCUUCAAGUUGUGCAACAUCUUCCAUGUACUCCCUCCGUCCCACAAUAUAAGACGUUUUUGCAAGCUAUGUUAGCUUGCAAAAACAUCUUAUAUUAUGAGACGGAGGAAGUACAUCUGAAGUACUCCCUCCAUUCCACAAUGUAGUGCACCCGCGCUUCCCAAGAUCUAAGUUUGACCAUACAUUUAACCAACGAGACCGACUGCGGCGGGAGCAAAAAUUAUAUCACUGAAUUUGUUGCUCCCGUCGCAGUGGUCUAGUUAGUUAAAUGUAUGGUCAAACUUAGAUCUCAGGAAGCACGGGCGCACUACAUUGUGGAAUGGAGGGAGUAGUACUUUGUAAUAUAUAUAAUGACAAUACUGAGGCUAGGAAAUAGGAUCCUCACCAACAUGCAAUUUUAGCCAAAAUGCAGAUGAUGAAUGCAUGUGAAAUUGAUGCAUUCUAAGAGGACAAAUGAAAAUACCUUGAUCAGCUGCUGAGCAGUUUGAACUUGUGAGGCACUUCCUGCGAUCUCGACCGUCAUCUCCCCAGGAACACCUUCUUGAAUACUUAUUGUCGCACCACUAUGCUUGCGGAUAUAGCUAAUAUUGGCACCAGCAGACCCAAUCACAGCAUCAGCGUAGGAAAGAGGAACUUGCAUUUUUUGGGAAAUCUGUCAAUAAACCAAACAAAUUUUUGGAAAAGGCAGUGUAAGCAAUAAAUUUACAGGCAUAAAAGAAGACAGCAUGUUCAUAAUGGUCAAAUUUAAAGCAACUAACUUGAGAAGACCCAUGCGAUAGGUGUUGAUUCCCUGAGGUAGGAGCAGCAGUUGGAUUUGCAUCACGUCCAUAUGAAGAAAUUCCAUAGUGCGGUUGCUUCUCCACAUGGUGCACAUCAGGAGGAGGAUAAUAGUUGUCUUGUGGCCGUGGCGGCAUAAAAUGUGGAUUCCCACCAUAACCUGGGCCACUGGGAGGAAUGUUUGGUGGAUGACUCCAGGGCGGAGGAGGACCCCAUUGCUGAGGAGCAGGCAUAGGUUGCUCUCUGGGCGCACUGUG